RNAcentral lists this long non-coding RNA (1456 nucleotides) under Gossypium barbadense (sea-island cotton). RNAcentral's name for it is "long non-coding RNA (GBAR_LNC020243)". The record is from RNAcentral. Lineage: Eukaryota; Viridiplantae; Streptophyta; Magnoliopsida; Malvales; Malvaceae.
AGACAUUCAACUUCAUUCAAUACGAAUAGUUUCAUAUGACAAUAUAAGCUUACCUCGAUAGUUAACCAUGCAAUCAAAAUGCAAAUGUAUGUAUAUAAUAAUCUCGAGUCAUAAAAAAACAAACCGAUAGGUUAACUACUCGUCAAUGACUCUCAACUUUCCUUACUCUUGCGACAGCUUGACAUCGUAUUUAGCUACGUUCAAUAUUUCAAUAAAUAAAACAAUAUCAGUUUACACCCAAUUCACAUCUAAAUACAUACAUACCCACUCAUAUUUUUACAUUUUAUUCAAUUUAGUCCCUAUACUCAAAUUAUGCAUAUUUUUCGAUAAAUAGCAUCAAAUCAAAAUAUGAUUUCACAUUCUUUCAUUAGGGACUCUAUACUUUCUAUUUACAACAUAAUCUCAUGAUAGUUUUCAAUUUAUUCAAUUUAGUCCCUAAUGUUUCAAAAUUAUCUAAUAAGCUUAAUUAGCUUUACAAUUUAGUCCUUAUCAUGAUUUAAGCUUAUUAACUAUCAAAUCCAAUCCCAAUUCAUCAAUGUCUCUAUAACGACAACUUGCAAAAAGCUUAAAAAUUCAAUAAAUUGAUACAUGGGCUAGCUAAAUCAAACUCUCAUGAUCAUAAAUCUAUAAAAAAUUGAUGAAAAUAACUUGAUUACCUUGGUAAUUUUGGUAUGGUCGAAUGAAUGAAAAACUUUGAGUUUUUUCUUCUUUUAUUUCUUUCUUCAUCUUCAACCUUCAAUCAGGUCAAUCCAACCCAGUUUAGACCCAAUUUUAUUAAUCAACCAUCUCCCAAUAUAUACACAAAAAAUUUAAAACAUCAAGACAUAAAUAAAAAUGGCUCUCAUAUCAAUUGUUAGAAAAUCUAUAAAAAUAUUAGAUACCUCUAAUAUUUUAUAUAAAAUAUAAACAUACUCAUAUAUAUUAAAACAUGAAAAAUUAACUAAAAGUGGAAUAUAAAGUUAAUCUCUAGUCAUCGAUGUUUAUUUUAUGUACUCUUAACGACUCACUUUGAUGGUAUAUGUUUUUACGAAUUGCUAAGCAUAGGGACCUUUUCAUAGCUUUUAUAUAUAUGGGCAUGUAUAUGCACAUUUUCUCAUAACAAAACGUAUUGUAUUCAUACAUUUUAUGCUUAUUUUAAGUGAAGCAUUAACAUCUUCAAUAAAUACAUGAGUUAUUGAAUAAACUUAAGCAUGAUAUGUUAAUUUUGGUUACACCAUACCAUCAUUAAUAAUGUUUUUUUAUUAACAUAACUUAAAUAAAAAAUAAGGGUAACAUUUGAGAGUUUUAUAUAUACUUAACACUUAAAAAGAAGAAAAAAAACUUACAGCUUUUGGUAAAUUUUGGGGAGUUAUGGACUUAGGUACGGCAGCGGCCAACAAUUACAGCGACGUUUAUGGUGGAUUUUCUGAUAGUUGUUCUUUAUGUAUGAACAGUAGAGACAUGAAAGAGAUGAAGA